This is a non-coding RNA of Acanthosepion pharaonis, 114 nucleotides long. NCBI's taxonomy places the organism in Eukaryota, Metazoa, Mollusca, Cephalopoda, Sepiida, Sepiidae. The record is from the annotation of a GenBank genome assembly.
UUAUGGCCAUACCACGUGGCAACAUUCGUUCCCGUACGAUUACCAAAGUUAAGCAAUGGCGAGCCUGGCCAGUACCUAGAUGUGUGACUGCUUGGGCAUACCAGGUGAUGCAAG